This 793-nucleotide small RNA is filed under the name uncultured Gemmatimonas sp. RNAcentral's name for it is "bacterial SSU rRNA". The stretch from base 1 to 473 matches the Rfam family "Bacterial small subunit ribosomal RNA", at positions 1064 to 1533 of the family's 1533-position model. Lineage: Bacteria; Pseudomonadati; Gemmatimonadota; Gemmatimonadia; Gemmatimonadales; Gemmatimonadaceae. The record is from RNAcentral.
GUCGUGAGAUGUUGGGUUAAGUCCCGCAACGAGCGCAACCCUCGUCCCUAGUUACCAGCGGGUAAAGCCGGGAACUCUAGGGAGACUGCCGGUGUCAAACCGGAGGAAGGUGGGGACGACGUCAAGUCAUCAUGGCCCUUACGUCCAGGGCGACACACGUGCUACAAUGGCCGGUACAGGGCGUCGCUAACUCGCAAGAGUACGCUAAUCGCUAAAAGCCGGUCUAAGUUCGGAUUGUGGGCUGCAACCCGCCCACAUGAAGCCGGAAUCGCUAGUAAUCGCGGAUCAGCCACGCCGCGGUGAAUACGUUCCCGGGCCUUGUACACACCGCCCGUCACGCCAUGGAAGUUGGGGGGACCUGAAGCCGGUGGGCUAACCCGCAAGGGAGGCAGCCGUCAAAGGUCAAUCCAAUGACUGGGGCGAAGUCGUAACAAGGUAGCCGUAGGGGAACCUGCGGCUGGAUCACCUCCUUUCUGGAGCAACGAGUAGCGCGGCAGCUUGCUGCCGCACGAAAGUUUUCUAGCUAGUCGCUCCGUACCUCAAACUCGAAUUCACACGCUCGGUGGCUCUUUGACAACCGACGAACAUGGAUGGGGAUCGAGGCCGCAAGGCCCCGAUCCAAAGAUCGCGGAAUCACUCAACGAUGUCGUUGAAGUGUUUCUAGUAAGAACCAGAUUUGAGAUCAAACGCAAUAAGGCACACGGUGGAUGCCUUGGCACCAAGAGGCGAUGAAGGGCGCGAUAAGCUGCGAAAAGCCUGGGGGAGUCGCACAUAGGCCGUGAUCCCAGGAUGC